UGCAGCCGCGGUAAUUCCAGCUCCAAUAGCGUAUAUUAAAGUUGUUGCAGUUAAAAAGCUCGUAGUUGAAUUUCGGGAUCAAUUUAUCGGUCGUGCCUAUGGUAUGAACUGGUACAAUUGGUUUCUCCCUUCUGACGAAGCAUGAUGUCAUUAAUUUGGUGUCGUGGGGAAUCAGGACUGUUACUUUGAAAAAAUUAGAGUGUUUAAAGCAAGCAUUAGCUUGAAUACAUUAGCAUGGAAUAAUGAAAUAGGACGUUUGAUCCUAUUUCGUUGGUUUCUAGGACCGACGUAAUGAUUAAUAGGGAUAGUUGGGGGCAUUAGUAUUCAAUUGUCAGAGGUGAAAUUCUUGGAUUUAUUGAAGACUAACUACUGCGAAAGCAUUUGCCAAGGAUGUUUUCAUUAAUCAAGAACGAAAGUUAGGGGAUCGAAGACGAUCAGAUACCGUCGUAGUCUUAACCAUAAACUAUGCCGACUAGGGAUCGGAUGAUGUUAAUUUUUUAAUGACUCA
This 508-nucleotide ribosomal RNA is filed under the name uncultured fungus. RNAcentral describes it as "SSU rRNA". It matches the Rfam family "Eukaryotic small subunit ribosomal RNA", at positions 569 to 1078 of the family's 1831-position model. The record is from RNAcentral. Lineage: Eukaryota; Fungi.